This 2015-nucleotide ribosomal RNA is filed under the name Eubothrium tulipai. RNAcentral's name for it is "SSU rRNA". It matches the Rfam family "Eukaryotic small subunit ribosomal RNA". Lineage: Eukaryota; Metazoa; Platyhelminthes; Cestoda; Bothriocephalidea; Triaenophoridae. The record is from RNAcentral.
GCGAAUGGCUCAUUAAAUCAGCUAUGGUUUACAGGACCGUACUUGUUAAAUGGAUAACUGUAAUAACUCUAGAGCUAAUACAUGCAACUAUGCCCUGACCCGCAAGGGGAUGGGUGCACUUAUUAGAUCAGAAGCCAACCGGGCAUCGGUCGCAAGGCUGGUGUCUGUUGUUUUUCUGGUGACUCUGGAUAAUUGUUACAGAUCGCAGUCGGCCAUGAGUCGGCGACGGGUCCUUCAAAUGUCUGCCCUAUCAACUUUCGAUGGUAGGUGACCUGCCUACCAUGGUGAUAACGGGUAACGGGGAAUCAGGGUUCGAUUCCGGAGAGGGAGCCUGAGAAACGGCUACCACUUCCAAGGGAGGCAGCAGGCGCGCAAAUUACCCACUUCCAGUACGGGGAGGUGGUGACGAAAAAUACCGAUGCGGGCCUCCGAAAUGAGGCUCCGUAAUCGGAAUGAGUGAACUAUAAAUCCUUUCACAAGGAUCAAUUGGAGGGCAAGUCUGGUGCCAGCAGCCGCGGUAACUCCAGCUCCAAUAGCGUAUAUUAAAGUUGCUGCAGUUAAAAAGCUCGUAGUUGGAUCUCGGUAUCACUGCUGUCUUUCAAUCAUUGGGGCGUCGGCCUAUCGGUGCAUGGGUCUUCCCUGUAUCAUAGUGUUGAUUGCUUCGGGUUGGCGAGGCAGCGGUGUCACCUUUCAGCCAUGUCUGUGUGGAUAAUCCCGCAGGUGCGGGCGAGUGACAGGCGGUGCCAUGCUGCUGUAGGGUCCGUCGGCUCGUCUUCAUGCCUUUGGAUGCCCUUCAAAAGGUGUCUGUUGGCGGAUGGCACGUUUACUUUGAACAAAUUUGAGUGCUCAAACCAGGCCGCUGUUGCCUGAAAAGUUUUGCAUGGAAUAAUGGAAUAGGACUUCGGUUCUAUUUCGUUGGUUUUCGGAUCCGAAGUAAUGAUCAAAAGAGACAAGCGGGGACGUUUGUAUGGCUGCGCUAGAGGUGAAAUUCUUGGACCGUAGCCAGACAGACUAAAGCGAAAGCAUUCGUCAAGCAUGUUUUCAUUGACCAUGAGCGAAAGUCAGAGGCUCGAAGACGAUCAGAUACCGUCCUAGUUCUGACCAUAAACGAUACCAACUGACGAUCCGUGGUGGUAGAAUUUAAACCUUCCUCACGGGCAGUCCCCGGGAAACCAUUAAGUCUAUGGGUUCCGGGGGAAGUAUGGUUGCAAAGCUGAAACUUAAAGGAAUUGACGGAAGGGCACCACCAGGAGUGGAGCCUGCGGCUUAAUUUGACUCAACACGGGAAAACUCACCCGGCCCGGACACUAUGAGGAUUGACAGAUUGAAAGCUCUUUCUUGAUUUGGUGAUUGGUGGUGCAUGGCCGUUCUUAGUUGGUGGAGCGAUUUGUCUGGUUAAUUCCGAUAACGAACGAGACUCCAGCCUGCUAAUUAGUUCUCCUGUCCACUGUAUCUGUGCAGGUGAGCGAUUGCCGAUUCUGCUCUUUACGGUUAUCACAGUUGGCGCUCGUUUGGUGAGAUGAUCAGGAUCGCAAGAUUCAGUAAUUCAAGCCUGCUGGUGCUGAUUGUGGUUGCUUGAGUGGGAGGUGCAGCGUUUAGCUUCCGGGUACGGCGCAGUGUCUACUUCUUAGAGGGACAAGCGGGAGAAACCGCACGAAAUUGAGCAAUAACAGGUCUGUGAUGCCCUUAGAUGUCCGGGGCCGCACGCGCGCUACAAUGGCGGUGGCAACGAGUCUGACCUUCUGGCCCGAAAGGGUUGGGCAAACUGGUCAAUCACCGUCAUGACAGGGAUCGGGGCUUGGAAUUGUUCCCCGUGAACGAGGAAUUCCUAGUAAGUGCAAGUCAUAAGCUUGCGCUGAUUACGUCCCUGCCCUUUGUACACACCGCCCGUCGCUACUACCGAUUGAAUGGUUUAGUAAGGUCCUUGGAUUGGCACGAUUGCAGCCGCAAGGCUCAGACGGUGCUGAGAAGACGACCGAACUUGAUCAUUUAGAGGAAGUAAAAGUCGUAACAAG